GGAUUCAUGGGCUAAUAAAAAGAACUAAACCAAUAGGCUUGAGCCAAAACGAAAGAGGCUAGACUCUAGUGAAUGGACCACUGCAUACAAUGCAAGUAACAAAUGAACCUAUAAACUUAAGGUCAGUCUACUUGCACUAGAGGGGAGGAGUGCCGGUGUCCCACAUUGACAACAAAGAAGGAAAAAGAAGAGAAUAUAAAAUAAAGCAAGGAGAACCAAGCCAAAUUGGCUUAACCAUUUUGGUGAAGGCAACCUUAAGCUCAACACAUGAACCUAUGCCAAUA
RNAcentral lists this unclassified non-coding RNA (284 nucleotides) under Hevea brasiliensis (rubber tree). The record is from RNAcentral. Lineage: Eukaryota; Viridiplantae; Streptophyta; Magnoliopsida; Malpighiales; Euphorbiaceae.